CCCAUCCCAGGCUCCCAGGGAGAGGAUAAGAGGGGCCUGGCAGAGCCCGGACCCAGCUGGUUCUCUCUGGGGAGCAGAGCUCUCGGGGUCCCCUGCACCAUGGCCUGGCCUCUUGUCUGCCUCCUCCUGCUCACCUGCUGCUCAGGUUCCUUCUCCCAGCCUGUGCUGACUCAGGCUCCCUCCAUGUCUGUGUCCCUGGGAGCCACGGCCAGACUCUCCUGCACCCUGGACAGUCAGCACAGAGGGUACACUAUUGAUUGGCACCAGCAGAUCCCGGGAAAGGCCCCUCGGUACCUCAUGUAUGUCGACAGUGAUGGAGAUGUAGAGAAGGGCGAGGGGGUCCCCGACCGCUUCUCGGGCUCCAGCUCUGGGGCCAAUCGCUACUUGUCCAUCAGCAACAUCCAGCCUGAGGACGAGGCCGAUUACUACUGUGGGACAGGUGAUAGUGAUGGUUUACACAGUGAUACAUUCAGUGGGGAAGUGGGACAAAAACCCCACUGCCAGCCCAGCCCCGCCCCCCUGCUGGCCCCGACUUCUGAUACAGCCCCAGCUGCUAAAGGGCCCGAGGUUGUGCUUCCUCUUUCUCUGUCUCAGGCUCAGAAGCCGGUGACCAGGACUUGCCCAAGAGCCCACUGA
Non-coding RNA from Antechinus flavipes (yellow-footed antechinus), 636 nucleotides. The record is from the annotation of a RefSeq genome assembly. NCBI's taxonomy places the organism in Eukaryota, Metazoa, Chordata, Mammalia, Dasyuromorphia, Dasyuridae.